RNAcentral lists this ribosomal RNA (253 nucleotides) under uncultured bacterium. Its description in RNAcentral is "partial 16S ribosomal RNA". It matches the Rfam family "Bacterial small subunit ribosomal RNA", at positions 524 to 776 of the family's 1533-position model. The record is from RNAcentral.
UACAGAGGUCUCAAGCGUUGUUCGGAUUCAUUGGGCGUAAAGGGUGCGUAGGUGGCGCCGUAAGUCGGGUGUGAAAUUUCGGAGCUUAACUCCGAAACUGCAUUCGAUACUGCGGUGCUUGAGGACUGGAGAGGUGACUGGAAUUCAUGGUGUAGCAGUGAAAUGCGUAGAGAUCAUGAGGAAGACCAGUGGCGAAGGCGGGUCUCUGGACAGUUCCUGACACUGAGGCACGAAGGCCAGGGGAGCAAACGGG